RNAcentral lists this ribosomal RNA (788 nucleotides) under Klebsiella pneumoniae. Its description in RNAcentral is "partial 23S ribosomal RNA". It matches the Rfam family "Bacterial large subunit ribosomal RNA", at positions 1 to 824 of the family's 2925-position model. RNAcentral also lists the same sequence under 1 other name. The record is from RNAcentral. Lineage: Bacteria; Pseudomonadati; Pseudomonadota; Gammaproteobacteria; Enterobacterales; Enterobacteriaceae.
GGGUUGUGAGGUUAAGCGACUAAGCGUACACGGUGGAUGCCCUGGCAGUCAGAGGCGAUGAAGGACGUGCUAAUCUGCGAAAAGCGUCGGUAAGGUGAUAUGAACCGUUAUAACCGGCGAUGUCCGAAUGGGGAAACCCAGUGCAAUUCGUUGCACUAUCGUUAACUGAAUACAUAGGUUAACGAGGCGAACCGGGGGAACUGAAACAUCUAAGUACCCCGAGGAAAAGAAAUCAACCGAGAUUCCCCCAGUAGCGGCGAGCGAACGGGGAGCAGCCCAGAGUCUGAAUCAGCUUGUGUGUUAGUGGAACGGUCUGGAAAGUCCGACGGUACAGGGUGAUAGUCCCGUACACCAAAAUGCACAGGCUGUGAACUCGAAGAGUAGGGCGGGACACGUGGUAUCCUGUCUGAAUAUGGGGGGACCAUCCUCCAAGGCUAAAUACUCCUGACUGACCGAUAGUGAACCAGUACCGUGAGGGAAAGGCGAAAAGAACCCCGGCGAGGGGAGUGAAAAAGAACCUGAAACCGUGUACGUACAAGCAGUGGGAGCACCUUCGGGUGUGACUGCGUACCUUUUGUAUAAUGGGUCAGCGACUUAUAUUCUGUAGCAAGGUUAACCGUAUAGGGGAGCCGCAGGGAAACCGAGUCUUAACUGGGCGUUAAGUUGCAGGGUAUAGACCCGAAACCCGGUGAUCUAGCCAUGGGCAGGUUGAAGGUUGGGUAACACUAACUGGAGGACCGAACCGACUAAUGUUGAAAAAUUAGCGGAUGACUUGUGGCUGGGGGUGA